This 253-nucleotide ribosomal RNA is filed under the name uncultured bacterium. Its description in RNAcentral is "partial 16S ribosomal RNA". It matches the Rfam family "Bacterial small subunit ribosomal RNA", at positions 524 to 776 of the family's 1533-position model. The record is from RNAcentral.
UACGGAGGGGGCUAGCGUUGUUCGGAAUUACUGGGCGUAAAGCGCGCGUAGGCGGCCAACUAAGUCGGACGUGAAAUCCCCAGGCUCAACCUGGGAACUGCGUCCGAUACUGGAUGGCUUGAAUCCGGGAGAGGGAUGCAGAAUUCCAGGUGUAGCGGUGAAAUGCGUAGAUAUCUGGAGGAAUACCGGUGGCGAAGGCGGCAUCCUGGACCGGCAUUGACGCUGAGGAGCGAAAGCCAGGGGAGCAAACGGG